RNAcentral lists this ribosomal RNA (458 nucleotides) under uncultured microorganism. Its description in RNAcentral is "bacterial SSU rRNA". It matches the Rfam family "Bacterial small subunit ribosomal RNA", at positions 346 to 794 of the family's 1533-position model. The record is from RNAcentral.
GUGCAGCAGGCGAGAAUAGUCUACAAUGGACGAAAGUCUGAUAGUGCGACGCCGUGUGUGCGAUUAAUUCCUUCGGGAUGUAAAGCACUUUUCUAUGAGAUAAAAGCUCUUUAGGUUAAUAGCUUAUUGAGACGGAUAUUAUUAUAGGAAUAAGCUCCGGCUAACUCCGUGCCAGCAGCCGCGGUAAUACGGAAGGAGCGAGCGUUGUCCGGAUUUACUAGGCGUAAAGGGCUAGUAGGCGACUAAUUAAGUUAUAUGUUAAAUCCCACGGCUCAACUGUGGUCCUGCAUGUAAUACUGGUUAGAUAGAGUACUGUAGAGGAAGGCAGAAUUCCUGGAGUAGCGGUGGAAUGCGCAGAUAUCAGGAAGAAUACCAAAAGCGAAGGCAGCCUUCUGGGCAGUUACUGACGCUGAAUAGCGAAGGUGUGGGUAGCGAACAGGAUUAGAUACCCCGGUAGU